UUUUAUUUGAGAGUUUGAUCCUGGCUCAGGAUGAACGCUGGCGGCGUGCCUAACACAUGCAAGUUGAGCGAUUUACUUCGGUAAAGAGCGGCGGACGGGUGAGUAACGCGUGGGUAACCUACCCUGUACACACGGAUAACAUACCGAAAGGUAUGCUAAUACGGGAUAAUAUAUUUGAGAGGCAUCUCUUGAAUAUCAAAGGUGAGCCAGUACAGGAUGGACCCGCGUCUGAUUAGUUAGUUGGUAAGGUAACGGCUUACCAAGGCGACGAUCAGUAGCCGACCUGAGAGGGUGAUCGGCCACAUUGGAACUGAGACACGGUCCAAACUCCUACGGGAGGCAGCAGUGGGGAAUAUUGCACAAU
Molecule: ribosomal RNA, 364 nt
Filed under: Clostridioides difficile
Lineage: Bacteria; Bacillati; Bacillota; Clostridia; Peptostreptococcales; Peptostreptococcaceae
Description: bacterial SSU rRNA
Rfam family: Bacterial small subunit ribosomal RNA
Source: RNAcentral